ACCAUGCAGUCGAACGGGAUCCGGGCAGCUUGCUGUCUGGUGAGAGUGGCGAACGGGUGAGUAAUGCGUGACCAACCUGCCCCAUGCUUCGGAAUAGCUCCUGGAAACGGGUGGUAAUGCCGGAUGCUCCGCACCGUCGCAUGAUGGUGUGGGAAAGGGUUUACCGGCAUGGGAUGGGGUCGCGUCCUAUCAGCUUGUUGGCGGGGUGAUGGCCUGCCAAGGCUUCGACGGGUAGCCGGCCUGAGAGGGCGACCGGCCACAUUGGGACUGAGAUACGGCCCAGACUCCUACGGGAGGCAGCAGUGGGGAAUAUUGCACAAUGGGCGAAAGCCUGAUGCAGCGACGCCGCGUGCGGGAUGACGGCCUUCGGGUUGUAAACCGCUUUUGAUUGGGAGCAAGCGAGAGUGAGUGUACCUUUCGAAUAAGCACCGGCUAACUACGUGCCAGCAGCCGCGGUAAUACGUAGGGUGCAAGCGUUAUCCGGAUUUAUUGGGCGUAAAGAGCUCGUAGGCGGUUCGUCGCGUCUGGUGUGAAAGUCCAUCGCUUAACGGUGGAUCGGCGCCGGGUACGGGCGGACUGGAGUGCGGUAGGGGAGACUGGAAUUCCCGGUGUAACGGUGGAAUGUGUAGAUAUCGGGAAGAACACCGAUGGCGAAGGCAGGUCUCUGGGCCGUCACUGACGCUGAGGAGCGAAAGCGUGGGGAGCGAACAGGAUUAGAUACCCUGGUAGUCCACGCCGUAAACGGUGGAUGCUGGAUGUGGGGCCCGUUCCACGGGUUCCGUGUCGGAGCUAACGCGUUAAGCAUCCCGCCUGGGGAGUACGGCCGCAAGGCUAAAACUCAAAGAAAUUGACGGGGGCCCGCACAAGCGGCGGAGCAUGCGGAUUAAUUCGAUGCAACGCGAAGAACCUUACCUGGGCUUGACAUGUGCCGGACGGCCGCGGAGACGCGGUUUCCCUUCGGGGCCGGUUCA
RNAcentral lists this ribosomal RNA (971 nucleotides) under Bifidobacterium sp. Ammopor6. Its description in RNAcentral is "bacterial SSU rRNA". It matches the Rfam family "Bacterial small subunit ribosomal RNA", at positions 53 to 1034 of the family's 1533-position model. The record is from RNAcentral. Lineage: Bacteria; Bacillati; Actinomycetota; Actinomycetes; Bifidobacteriales; Bifidobacteriaceae.